RNAcentral lists this ribosomal RNA (800 nucleotides) under uncultured Halalkalicoccus sp. Its description in RNAcentral is "bacterial SSU rRNA". It matches the Rfam family "Archaeal small subunit ribosomal RNA", at positions 21 to 821 of the family's 1478-position model. Lineage: Archaea; Methanobacteriati; Methanobacteriota; Halobacteria; Halobacteriales; Halalkalicoccaceae. The record is from RNAcentral.
AGGCCAUUGCUAUUGGAGUCCGAUUUAGCCAUGCUAGUCGCACGGGUUCAGACCCGUGGCGAAUAGCUCCGUAACACGUGGCCAAACUACCCUCUGGAUCGGGAUAACCUCGGGAAACUGAGGCUAAUACCGAAUAUCGCUCUCAUCCUGGAAUUGGAGAGAGCACGAAACGCUCCGGCGCCAUAGGAUGUGGCUGCGGCCGAUUAGGUAGACGGUGGGGUAACGGCCCACCGUGCCGAUAAUCGGUACGGGUUGUGAGAGCAAGAACCCGGAGACGGUAUCUGAGACAAGAUACCGGGCCCUACGGGGCGCAGCAGGCGCGAAACCUUUACACUGCACGAACGUGCGAUAAGGGGACUCCAAGUGCGAGGGCAUACAGUCCUCGCUUUUCCCUACCGUAAGGUGGUAGGUGAAUAAGAGCUGGGCAAGACCGGUGCCAGCCGCCGCGGUAAUACCGGCAGCUCGAGUGAUGGCCAAUAUUAUUGGGCCUAAAGCGUCCGUAGCUGGCCGAACAGGUCUGUCGGGAAAUCCGCUCGCUCAACGAGCGGACGUCCGGCGGAAACCAGUUGGCUUGGGACCGGAAGACCCGAGGGGUACGUCCGGGGUAGGAGUGAAAUCCUGUAAUCCUGGACGGACCGCCGGUGGCGAAAGCGCCUCGGGAGAACGGAUCCGACAGUGAGGGACGAAAGCUUGGGUCACGAACCGGAUUAGAUACCCGGGUAGUCCAAGCUGUAAACGAUGCUCGCUAGGUGUGGCACUGGCUACGAGCCAGUGCUGUGCCGUAGGGAAGCCGAGAAGCG